RNAcentral lists this ribosomal RNA (565 nucleotides) under uncultured bacterium. RNAcentral describes it as "bacterial SSU rRNA". It matches the Rfam family "Bacterial small subunit ribosomal RNA", at positions 338 to 916 of the family's 1533-position model. The record is from RNAcentral.
CCUACGGGAGGCAGCAGUGGGGAAUUUUCCGCAAUGGGCGAAAGCCUGACGGAGCAAUACCGCGUGAGGGAGGAAGGCUCUUGGGUUGUAAACCUCUUUUCUCAGGGAAGAAAAAAAUGACGGUACCUGAGGAAUAAGCAUCGGCUAACUCUGUGCCAGCAGCCGCGGUAAUACAGAGGAUGCAAGCGUUAUCCGGAAUGAUUGGGCGUAAAGCGUCCGCAGGUGGUUUUGUAUGUCUGCUGUUAAAGAGUUAGGCUUAACCUAAUAAAGGCGGUGGAAACUACAAGACUAGAGUACGUUCGGGGCAGAGGGAAUUCCCAGUGUAGCGGUGAAAUGCGUAGAGAUUGGGAAGAACACCGGUGGCGAAAGCGCUCUGCUAGGCCUGUACUGACACUGAGGGACGAAAGCUAGGGGAGCGAAUGGGAUUAGAUACCCCAGUAGUCCUAGCCGUAAACGAUGGAUACUAGGCGUUGUCUGUAUCGACCCGGACAGUGCCGUAGCUAACGCGUUAAGUAUCCCGCCUGGGGAGUACGCAGGCAACUGUGAAACUCAAAUGAAUUGACGG